GUAGCUGGCUGAAUCUUGCAAAUAUAUUGUGAUACUAUUCCAGGAGUAUAGGUGCAUACCUCUAUAGGCUUAUUUUAGAUCCAGCACAAAGAGAUUAAGAAGGCUAAGUGAAAAUAUUGGGUCUUUUCGGCAAAAGAAUGUUGUUGAUUUGUCUUCAUCCAUAUGAGAGAAUUCAACUACAUUUUCUCCUUUGCUCUAAUUGUAUCAUCUGGUAUUCCAAAUAUCCAAUGUCAUAGAUGUUAGUACUAUAAGUGAGAAUUAGCUAAACCUUAUUCAGUUGGCCUGCAAGUUACUUAUAAGUACUGUUGAAAGCUGCAGUUUUGCUUGGAAUUCUUUUAGGUUUCAAGUUAGUCCAUAGGUGCAAUGAAACAAAGUGUUGCGCUGGCUACUCUCGAAGGAAAGGAACACGAGGAUUUUUAAUCACUCGAGCAAAUCGGUGGUGCAGUGGUUCCAUGACUUUAGAGAAGAGUUAUUAAUCUGGAAGCAAGCGGAGUUCUUCAGAGAACCGACAGGAAUUAGUGGGAAUGGAUGGGAGGAUUGGGGUGAACCCAGUGCACAUGGCCUAACACAAUUGAGCCACCAGCAGCAGCAUGACAUAGGAAACCAACCACUGGAGGGCCUGAGAGCAGCAAACAGCUUCAAUAGCCUUCACUAUGACUGGAAGAAUUCUCAAUAGAAUGACGAUCAGAAGUUACAAAAGGUUCUGCCUGAUGACACAUUUGCCCUCAAUGGGGGCUCAUCUCAGCAAUGACAACACAAAAGUUACAUCCACAUAACCUCCCCUUGGAACGGAGGACAUGGGCCUUCCAGCUGAUGAUGCCAAUUAAGAAAACGAAACAUCUGCGAUGACCAAAUGCAUCCUGUGGCAAAGACUAUGUGUGAUGCGUUCCUCCUAUAUGUUCGACUCUGGAAAUAUCUGUGAUCUUACUGGAAGACUGACUCAAUCAUCAUGGAUGGAUUAGAGCCCACACAGGUUGGGAGUGUUUGGUGGAUUUUAGACUGGGUAAAGAUCAGUGUCUCUCCCAUCUUUUUUCUUCAUUUGUUUUUCCUUUCUCCAAUCCCUGCUCCAGAAGUAGCGAACCAUGUUACUGAUUUGUGAUUUCCUUUUCUUUCUUCCACAGCCGAGGCUUUUACUGUACUCUGUAUAACCUAUCAUUUACUAGUGGAAAGCAGCAGGAACAUUCUCAGAUACGAUGCAUGCGUGUGCGCAAAUCUGCUUAAUUUGUGGAUUGUUUCUUGAGUUGGUAUCUGACAAGUGCAUUUUCUGUAAUCC
Molecule: long non-coding RNA, 1273 nt
Organism: Oryza brachyantha (malo sina)
Lineage: Eukaryota; Viridiplantae; Streptophyta; Magnoliopsida; Poales; Poaceae
Exons: 3
Source: RefSeq, a predicted model, not a curated record